Molecule: non-coding RNA, 71 nt
Organism: Marmota monax (woodchuck)
Lineage: Eukaryota; Metazoa; Chordata; Mammalia; Rodentia; Sciuridae
Source: the annotation of a RefSeq genome assembly
GAAGGUGUAGCUCAGUGGUAGAGUGCUUGCCUUGCAUGCACAAGGCCCUGGGUUCAAUCCCCAGCACCACA